Molecule: ribosomal RNA, 525 nt
Filed under: Boophis microtympanum
Lineage: Eukaryota; Metazoa; Chordata; Amphibia; Anura; Mantellidae
Description: partial 16S ribosomal RNA
Rfam family: Bacterial large subunit ribosomal RNA
Source: RNAcentral
CAGCCUGCCCAGUGACAGAUUCAACGGCCGCGGUACCCUAACCGUGCGAAGGUAGCAUAAUCACUUGUUCUUUAAAUGAGGACUAGUAUCAAUGGCAUCACGAGGAUCCUACUGUCUCCCCGCUCCAAUCAGUGAAACUGAUCUCUCCGUGAAGAAGCGGGGAUGCACAUAUAAGACGAGAAGACCCCAUGGAGCUUUAAACCCAACGGCAACUAUAUUUUAAUGCCCUCACAUUCACCCAGCAAAUGCUCGUUGGUUUUAGGUUGGGGUGACCAUGGAGUAAAAAACAACCUCCACGAAAAAAGGGGUAAUAACCCUUAUCAAAGAACCACGAUUCUAUGAAUUAGUAAACUAAUUUUUAAUGAUCCGAUUUUCGAUCAACGAACCAAGUUACCCUGGGGAUAACAGCGCAAUCCACCUCGAGAGCUCCUAUCGACAGGUGGGUUUACGACCUCGAUGUUGGAUCAGGGUUUCCCAGUGGUGCAGCAGCUACUAAAGGUUCGUUUGUUCAACGAUUAAAACCCU